UACGGGGGGGGGCAAGCGUUGUUCGGAAUUACUGGGCGUAAAGGGCUCGUAGGUGGCCAACUAAGUCAGACGUGAAAUCCCUCGGCUUAACCGGGGAACUGCGUCUGAUACUGGAUGGCUUGAGUUUGGGAGAGGGACGCGGAAUUCCAGGUGUAGCGGUGAAAUGCGUAGAUAUCAGGAGGAACACCAGCGGCGAAGGCGGCGCUCUGGGCCGGAACUGACGCUGAGGAGCGAAAGCGUGGGUAGCAAACAGG
Molecule: ribosomal RNA, 254 nt
Filed under: uncultured bacterium
Lineage: Bacteria
Description: partial 16S ribosomal RNA
Rfam family: Bacterial small subunit ribosomal RNA
Source: RNAcentral